AAAAUUUUACUGGAAGUCUCUAGUACAUAAGCCUACAUUUUGACCGUUGGGAUCUACUAGCAAACAUCCAGAACUCAUUCUGCAUUACUCUUUCCACAACCAGCAAAUGCAUAGCAUUUUUCUGCACUUAUGCAAAAUUCUGCUACACAAUUUCACAGCAAAAUUCUGCAUAAAGUGCAGAUUUCGAAAAUCACACUUUCCCUCAUCCAAUCUUGCCCAAAUCAAAUCCUACAAGUCCCAAAUCAU
This 246-nucleotide long non-coding RNA is filed under the name Glycine max (soybean). RNAcentral describes it as "long non-coding RNA (GMAX_LNC001050)". Lineage: Eukaryota; Viridiplantae; Streptophyta; Magnoliopsida; Fabales; Fabaceae. The record is from RNAcentral.